AUUGGUGCAUUUACAAUCCCUGAGCUAGACACAAAAGUUAUCCACGUCGCCACUAGAUUAGCUAGAUACAGAGUGUCCACUGGUGUAUUUACAAACCCUGAGCUAGACACAGAGUGCUGAUUGGUGCAUUUACAAACCUUGAGCUAGAUACAGAGUGCCGAUUGGUGCAUUCACAAUCCCUUAGCUAGACAUAAAAGUUCUCCAAGUCCCCACCAGAUUCAAGAGCCCAGCUGGCUUCACCCAGUGGAUCUCGCACCGGCCGCAGGUGGAGCUGCCUGCCAGCCCCGCGCCGUUUCCCCUACUCCUCAGCCCUUGGGUGGUCGUUGGGACCGGGCGCCGGGAGCAGGGGGCAGCGCACGUUGGGGAGGCUCAGGCCGCGCAGGAACCCACGGAGGGGGAGCGGGGAGGAGACUCAAGCAUGGCGGGCUGCAGGUCCUGAGCCCUGCCCCGCAAGGAAGCAGCUAAGGCCCUGCGAGAAAUAGAGCACAGCAGCUGCUGGCCCAGUUGCUAAGCCCCUCACUGCCCAGUGCUUGCGGGCUGGCCGGCCGGCUACUCCGAGUGCGGGGCCCGCCGAGCCCACGCCCACCCGGAACUCGUGCUGGCCUGCAAGCGCCGCGCGCAGCCCCGGUUCCCGUCCGCGCGGAGCCCACGCCCACCCGGAACUCAUUCCGUCCCGCAAGCGCCGCGCGCAGCCUCGGUUUCCGCCGCGACUCUCCUUCCGCACCUCCCCGCAAGCUGAGGGAGCCGGAUCUGGCCUUUGCCAGCCCAGAAAGGGGCUCCCACAGUGCAGCGGUGGGCUGAAGGGUUCCUCAAGCGCGGCCAGAGUGGGCGCCAAGGCCGAGGAGGCGCCCAGAGCCAGCGAGGGCUGCCAGCAAGCUGUCACCUCUCAAUAGGAAUUGGUACCAACCUACUUACGAAGAAGUAUUUGUUUUAACCUGAACCUGGGGGAAAAACAACAUGAACUGUUCGUCUAUCUAUAUCGUCAUUAUUUUUUACCUCAUGGAUUGAAACAAAUUUUAAAGGAAAAAAGAAUGUUAAGAAAGAGCAGCACUUACUAUCAGGCAGGCACCUCACGAGCAUUGUGAACACUCAGGCUCGCUGCUUUCUGAAGGACAUGCCAAUCAUGCACAGCACUUACUAGAAACUGCAAGACUGCACAACAUGAUGGUAUUUAUUCCAGGAACAGGAGCCAGUCCUGGGCACACACAUAAGGGGACUUCCUUCACUCCCCAGAAUAAGAGAAAGCAUGCUGACACACAUCUGCCCAAGCAAUCAGAAGGCAGCUAAAGCCGCCACAGUCUUCACUCACCAACAGUUAGACCUUUUCAAUUGAUUUUAUUGAAGAAAGUGAGUGCUGAGCACCAUGAGUUCUCAUAAACAAUCCAUUUUGGCAAAUGCUUUAAGAAUGUUGGUUAAUUGCAGUUAGGCAGCAUCGACGUAUUUUAUUUUUUUGGAAAGCAAGAAGCUGGCUUACCAACAUUAAGUUAAACACCAUGUAAGGGUUAGAAAUAUGAAUCAACUAUUAGGGUGGUACCAUCUCUUUAUAAUAAACCAAUGUAGAUUGAUUAAGUAUAGCCUAAAAGUUUACCAGAAAUCAUAACUACAUUUAAGCUUUGAAUUUCAUGACUAGUGAUUAAUUUUGCAUGUCAACUUGACUGAGCUUAUAGGAUGCCCAGGUAUCUGAUUAAACAUUAUUUCUGGAGGUGUCUGUGAGGGUGUUUCUGUAAGAGAAUAGCAUCUGAAGGCCGGGUGUGGUGGCUCAUGCCUGUAAUCCUAGCACUUUGGGAGGCUGAGGUGGGCAGAUUGCCUGAGCUCAGGAGUCUGAGACCAGCCUGGGCAACAUGGCAAAACACCGUCUGUACUAAAAAAUACAAAGUUUAGUUGGAUGUGGUGGCGCACACCUGUAGUCCCAGCUACUAGGGAGGCUAAGGCAUGAGAAUUUCCUGAGCCUGCGAGGCGGAGGUUGCAGUAAGCCAAGAUUGUACUCCAGCCUGGGUGAUAAAGUGAGACCCUAUCUCAUAAAAAACAAAAAAACAAAAACAGAAAAAAAGAAGACGAAGAAGAAAGAGAGACAGAUUAGCAUUUGAAUGGGUGGACUGAGUAAAGCAGAUGGCCCUCAUCAGUGUUGGUGGGAAUUGUCCUAUCCAUUGAGGGCUUAAAUGAAACAAAGACUGAGGAAGGCUGAAUUCAAUCUCUGCUGACUGCUGGGGCUGAGACAUCAAUCUUCUGCUCUCAGUGCUCUUCCAGACUCAGACUGGAAUGUACACUAUCAGCUCUCCAGUUCUCAGGCCUUCAAAUUACACCUCUGGCUUUCCUGGGUCUCCAGCUUGCAGAUGGCAGAUCAUGGGACUUCAUGGGACUUCUCAGACUCCAUAACCAAGCAAGCCAUUUUACUUACUCUGGACUCAUUUUCUUAAUCCAAAAAUGGAAGUAAGGCUUGUCAUCUGUCUUAUUCAUAGUCACAGG
Molecule: long non-coding RNA, 2466 nt
Organism: Gorilla gorilla gorilla (western lowland gorilla)
Lineage: Eukaryota; Metazoa; Chordata; Mammalia; Primates; Hominidae
Exons: 4
Source: RefSeq, a predicted model, not a curated record